UACGUAGGUGGCAAGCGUUGUCCGGAUUUAUUGGGCGUAAAGAGCUCGUAGGCGGCUCAGUAAGUCAGGUGUGAAAACUCCAGGCUCAACCUGGAGACGCCACCUGAUACUGCUGUGGCUAGAGUCCGGUAGGGGAGCAUGGAAUUCCUGGUGUAGCGGUGAAAUGCGCAGAUAUCAGGAGGAACACCAGUGGCGAAGGCGGUGCUCUGGGCCGGAACUGACGCUGAGGAGCGAAAGCGUGGGGAGCAAACAGG
Molecule: ribosomal RNA, 254 nt
Filed under: uncultured bacterium
Lineage: Bacteria
Description: partial 16S ribosomal RNA
Rfam family: Bacterial small subunit ribosomal RNA
Source: RNAcentral